CCUACGGGAGGCAGCAGUGGGGAAUAUUGGACAAUGGGGGCAACCCUGAUCCAGCCAUGCCGCGUGCGUGAAGAAGGCCUUAGGGUUGUAAAGCGCUUUCGGCGGGGAAGAUGAUGACGGUACCCGCAGAAGAAGCUCCGGCUAACUCCGUGCCAGCAGCCGCGGUAA
This 168-nucleotide ribosomal RNA is filed under the name uncultured bacterium. RNAcentral describes it as "partial 16S ribosomal RNA". It matches the Rfam family "Bacterial small subunit ribosomal RNA", at positions 338 to 523 of the family's 1533-position model. The record is from RNAcentral.